RNAcentral lists this ribosomal RNA (478 nucleotides) under uncultured bacterium. RNAcentral's name for it is "bacterial SSU rRNA". It matches the Rfam family "Bacterial small subunit ribosomal RNA", at positions 8 to 483 of the family's 1533-position model. The record is from RNAcentral.
AGAGUUUGAUCCUGGCUCAGGAUGAACGCUAGCGGCAGGCUUAAUACAUGCAAGUCGAGGGGCAGCACGGGUAGCAAUACCUGGUGGCGACCGGCAAACGGGUGCGGAACACGUACGCAACCUUCCUUUAAGUGGGGGAUAGCCCAGGGAAACUUGGAUUAAUACCCCUUAACAUUAUGAGAUGGCAUCAUUUUAUAAUUAAAGCUCCGGCGCUUAAAGAUGGGCGUGCGCCUGAUUAGGUAGUUGGCGGGGUAACAGCCCACCAAGCCUACGAUCAGUAACUGGUGUGAGAGCACGACCAGUCACACGGGCACUGAGACACGGGCCCGACUCCUACGGGAGGCAGCAGUAAGGAAUAUUGGUCAAUGGACGCAAGUCUGAACCAGCCAUGCCGCGUGGAGGAUGACGGCCCUCUGGGUUGUAAACUCCUUUUAUCUGGGAAGAAAUGCAGUUUUUCUAAACUGUUGACGUACCAGAG